Molecule: ribosomal RNA, 445 nt
Filed under: uncultured bacterium
Lineage: Bacteria
Description: SSU rRNA
Rfam family: Bacterial small subunit ribosomal RNA
Source: RNAcentral
AGAACGAACGCUGGCGGCAUGCCUAACACAUGCAAGUCGAGCGCCCAGCAAUGGGAGCGGCGGACGGGUGAGUAACACGUGGGAAUAUGCCUUUCGGUACGGAACAACUCAGGGAAACUUGAGCUAAUGCCGUAUACGCCCUUACGGGGAAAGAUUUAUCGCCGAAAGAUUAGCCCGCGUCUGAUUAGCUAGUUGGUGAGGUAAUGGCUCACCAAGGCUUCGAUCAGUAGCUGGUUUGAGAGAACGACCAGCCACACUGGGACUGAGACACGGCCCAGACUCCUACGGGAGGCAGCAGUGGGGAAUCUUGGACAAUGGGGGAAACCCUGAUCCAGCGAUGCCGCGUGAGUGAUGAAGGCCUUCGGGUUGUAAAACUCUUUCGACGGGGACGAUAAUGACGGUACCCGUAGUAAGAAGCUCCGGCUAACUUCGCGCCAGCAGCCGC